GACGUAGGGCGCGAGCGUUGUCCGGAUUUAUUGGGCGUAAAGAGCUCGUAGGCGGUUAACUAAGUCAGACGUGAAAUCCCCAGGCUCAACCUGGGAACUGCGGCUGAUACUGGAUGGCUUGAAUCCGGGAGAGGGAUGCAGAAUUCCAGGUGUAGCGGUGAAAUGCGUAGAUAUCUGGAGGAAUACCGGUGGCGAAGGCGGCCUGCUGGGCAGUGACUGACACUGAGGCGCGACAGCGUGGGGAGCAAACAGG
This 253-nucleotide ribosomal RNA is filed under the name uncultured bacterium. RNAcentral describes it as "partial 16S ribosomal RNA". It matches the Rfam family "Bacterial small subunit ribosomal RNA", at positions 524 to 776 of the family's 1533-position model. The record is from RNAcentral.